CACCACCACACGUUGCCAUUUGUAAUACAUACAAGCCAGUUGGAGAAUAUCCAAUGAUAUGAAUCAUGGACACAUUUUCAGCAAAGGAAGAAACAUCCUGCACAAUACUAACAACAUCAAAUUUGCCUUUGUUGAAGCCUCUAAAUCCUAAGCCGCCUUUAUUUUUACCUCUUCCCAAUCUGUGCUACCUCAUCCAAUAAUAGAUAUAUGUAAUUACAAGCCUUCACAGUAACAACAUUUUAGUUUGAAUCAACAAAUUUAUCAACUCUUCCACCUGCACAAGAUGUAACAGAGGAGGUACUCUCAAUACAUAAAAGACCUGUAUAAACACAAGGUCUACGAACCACAACACCAUGAAAAAACAAAAAUUCCAUGUGACAAAAGUAAAUACACGCAUGGCAGAACCAGCAACAGCACAAAACCAACAGCAACAACGUGCCCCUGAAUGACAAUAAGAGCACGUCAAACCAAUAAAUUAGCAUUUUUGCUAACAGUAAUCUACAAAUACUAGUGGAUUUACCAUCAAUAAUUACGUCUCCCGUAUCAAACUGAAAAUAAAGAAAGCAGAGAAGAUGGAAAGAAGGUGAAGAAGGAGAAGAUGUGUGUCGAGAAAGAAGGGGAUUUUCUAAUUUUAAGAGUGAACAUGUAAAUUUGUUGAAAAAGAUGACUUACCCUGAAGAAAAGAGAACACAAAUAUGGAGCUAUAAUUUCGGCAUGGUGGCUGGCAGCGGAAGGAAGAGAAAUGGUGGGUUUGGAAAAUAA
RNAcentral lists this long non-coding RNA (762 nucleotides) under Medicago truncatula (barrel medic). RNAcentral's name for it is "long non-coding RNA (MTRU_LNC000244)". The record is from RNAcentral. Lineage: Eukaryota; Viridiplantae; Streptophyta; Magnoliopsida; Fabales; Fabaceae.